RNAcentral lists this ribosomal RNA (500 nucleotides) under uncultured bacterium. Its description in RNAcentral is "partial 16S ribosomal RNA". It matches the Rfam family "Bacterial small subunit ribosomal RNA", at positions 30 to 523 of the family's 1533-position model. The record is from RNAcentral.
AUUGAACGCUGGCGGAAUGCUUUACACAUGCAAGUCGAACGGCAGCACGGACUUCGGUCUGGUGGCGAGUGGCGAACGGGUGAGUAAUGUAUCGGAACGUGCCCAGUCGUGGGGGAUAACGUAGUGAAAAUUACGCUAAUACCGCAUACGAUCUAUGGAUGAAAGCGGGGGAUCGCAAGACCUCGCGCGAUUGGAGCGGCCGAUAUCAGAUUAGGUAGUUGGUGGGGUAAAGGCCCACCAAGCCAACGAUCUGUAGCUGGUCUGAGCGGACGACCAGCCACACUGGAGAUGAGACACGUUCCAGACUCCAACGGGAGGCAGCAGUGGGGAAUUUUGGACAAUGGGCGAAAGCCUGAUCCAGCCAUUCCGCGUGCAGGAUGAAGGCCCUCGGGUUGUAAACUGCUUUUGUACAGAACGAAAAGGUUUCUACUAAUACUAGGAGCUCAUGACGGUACUGUAAGAAUAAGCACCGGCUAACUAUGUGCCAGCCGCCGCCGUAA